AACGCGAAGAACCUUACCUGGGCUCGAAAUGUUAUGGACCGGAGUAGAAAUAUUCCUUCCCAGCAAUGGGCCGUAAUAUAGGUGCUGCAUGGCUGUCGUCAGCUCGUGUCGUGAGAUGUUGGGUUAAGUCCCGCAACGAGCGCAACCCUUAUCCCUAGUUGCCAUCGGGUCAAGCCGGGCACUCUAGUGAAACCGCCCAGGAUAACUGGGAGGAAGGUGGGGAUGACGUCAAGUCCUCAUGGCCUUUAUGUCCAGGGCUACACACGUGCUACAAUGGUCGGUACAAACCGUCGCAAACUCGCGAGAGGGAGCUAAUCGGAAAAAGCCGGCCUCAGUUCGGAUUGGAGUCUGCAACCCGACUCCAUGAAGCUGGAAUCGCUAGUAAUCGCGGAUCAGAACGCCGCGGUGAAUACGUUCCCGGGCCUUGUACACACCGAGACGUA
RNAcentral lists this ribosomal RNA (443 nucleotides) under uncultured bacterium. RNAcentral's name for it is "bacterial SSU rRNA". It matches the Rfam family "Bacterial small subunit ribosomal RNA", at positions 958 to 1398 of the family's 1533-position model. The record is from RNAcentral.